RNAcentral lists this ribosomal RNA (465 nucleotides) under uncultured bacterium. RNAcentral's name for it is "partial 16S ribosomal RNA". It matches the Rfam family "Bacterial small subunit ribosomal RNA", at positions 28 to 507 of the family's 1533-position model. The record is from RNAcentral.
GACGAACGCUGGCGGCGUGCUUAACACAUGCAAGUCGAACGGAAAGGCCCUGCUUGCCGGGUACUCGAGUGGCGAACGGGUGAGUAACACGUGGGUGAUCUGCCCUGCACUUCGGGAUAAGCCUGGGAAACUGGGUCUAAUACCGGAUAGGAGCCAUUUUUAGUGUGAUGGUUGGAAAGUUUUUUCGGUGUAGGAUGAGCUCGCGGCCUAUCAGCUUGUUGGUGGGGUAAUGGCCUACCAAGGCGGCGACGGGUAGCCGGCCUGAGAGGGUGGACGGCCACAUUGGGACUGAGAGACGGCCCAGACUCCUACGGGAGGCAGCAGUGGGGAAUAUUGCACAAUGGGCGCAAGCCUGAUGCAGCGACGCCGCGUGGGGGAUGACGGCCUUCGGGUUGUAAACUCCUUUCGCUAGGGACGAAGCUUUUUGUGACGGUACCUAGAUAAGAAGCACCGGCUAACUACGUG